RNAcentral lists this transfer RNA (57 nucleotides) under Candidatus Rokuibacteriota bacterium. RNAcentral describes it as "Candidatus Rokubacteria bacterium (groundwater metagenome) tRNA-Arg". It matches the Rfam family "tRNA", at positions 8 to 61 of the family's 71-position model. From Rfam's summary of the family: Transfer RNA (tRNA) molecules are approximately 80 nucleotides in length. Their secondary structure includes four short double-helical elements and three loops (D, anti-codon, and T loops). The record is from RNAcentral. Lineage: Bacteria; Candidatus Rokuibacteriota.
UAGCUCAGGUGGAUAGAGCGUUGGCCUCCGAAGCCAAAGGUCGCUGGUUCGAAUCCA